UACGGGGUGCAGCAGGCGCGAAAACUUUACAAUGCGGGAAACCGUGAUAAGGGAAUCUCGAGUGCCAGCAUAUAAUGUUGGCUGUCCAGAUGCCUAAAAAGCAUCUGUUAGCAAGGGCCGGGCAAGACCGGUGCCAGCCGCCGCGGUAACACCGGCGGCCCGAGUGGUAACCGCUAUUAUUGGGUCUAAAGGGUCUGUAGCCGGCCAGGUAAGUCCCUUGGGAAAUCUGGCAGCUCAACUGUCAGGCUGCUAGGGGAUACUGUUUGGCUUGGGACCGGGAGAGGUGAGAGGUACCUUGGGGGUAGGGGUGAAAUCUUGUGAUCCUCGGGGGACCACCAGUGGCGAAGGCGUCUCACCAGAACGGGUCCGACGGUAAGGGACGAAAGCUAGGGGCACGAACCGGAUUAGAUACCCGGGUAGUCCUAGCCGUAAACGAUGCUCGCUAGGUGUCAGUCACGGUGCGACCGUGAUUGGUGCCGUAGGGAAGCCGUGAAGCGAGCCACCUGGGAAGUAUGGCCGCAAGGCUGAAACUUAAAGGAAUUGGCGGGGGAGCACUACAACGGGUGGAGCCUGCGGUUUAAUUGGAUUCAACGCCGGAAAUCUCACCGGGGGCGACAGCGAUAUGAAGGUCAGGCUGAAGACCUUACCCGAUUAGCUGAGAGGUGGUGCAUGGCCGUCGUCAGUUCGUACUGUGAAGCAUCCUGUUAAGUCAGGCAACGAGCGAGACCCA
RNAcentral lists this ribosomal RNA (730 nucleotides) under uncultured archaeon. Its description in RNAcentral is "bacterial SSU rRNA". It matches the Rfam family "Archaeal small subunit ribosomal RNA", at positions 324 to 1054 of the family's 1478-position model. The record is from RNAcentral.